CGCGUUCAAAGAUCGAAACCUUAGAAGGGGAAACAAGGAGAAAGAAAAGGUCUCGGCCCUUUCCUAAACCCGAAUCUGACGGCGGCGAAGGACCGAUUCAGGUAUGUUUCUUUCUCCUUUCUUUACUUUAUUAAUAGUUUCCCUUUUUUGAACAAAUUUGUAAAUAAUAAUAAAAAUAAAUAAAUAAAAAUGAUGGAUAAAUAGAUUGGAAAAAAAAUAAAAAGAAAUAGGGCAUUAACCUCUGUUUUCUUUUAUUUUUGAUAUUCUAAAAGUGUCUGAACCCCUACAAAGAAAAAGCUUGUGGCUUUUAUAGCCAAAUUACAAACGCUUAGUCUCUAUUUCUUUUGUCGUUUUACUACUUGUUUCCUCUGUUCGUUGUUUUUUCUUUGUUUGUUUGCUUUUGCUUGUUGGCUUCUUGCAGGUGGUGUCAGAGAAGCGUGGAGGUCACGUGCGGCAGACAAGUGAGGCUAGCGAUUGGCGAGCGGCGGCGGUGGCGUGUGAUGCUGGGGCUUGCGGUGCUGGAGGUUAGGGGUUUUUUUUUGCUGAAAAUUUUUAAGUUUGUGAGCUUGUUUAGUUUUGGGCUUGUUGGGUUAGGGUUAAUUUGUAAUUGAGCUGCUUGGGUUUCUUGUAAAUGGACUGGGACUAUUA
RNAcentral lists this long non-coding RNA (648 nucleotides) under Gossypium barbadense (sea-island cotton). RNAcentral describes it as "long non-coding RNA (GBAR_LNC016379)". The record is from RNAcentral. Lineage: Eukaryota; Viridiplantae; Streptophyta; Magnoliopsida; Malvales; Malvaceae.